Podarcis lilfordi (Lilford's wall lizard) is the source of this 69-nucleotide non-coding RNA. The record is from the annotation of a GenBank genome assembly. NCBI's taxonomy places the organism in Eukaryota, Metazoa, Chordata, Lepidosauria, Squamata, Lacertidae.
GCUGUAGCCCAGCAGUAGAGCAUCUGCUUUUCCUGCAGAAGGUAUUGGGUUCAAUCCUCAACAUCUCCA